This 756-nucleotide ribosomal RNA is filed under the name uncultured archaeon. Its description in RNAcentral is "bacterial SSU rRNA". It matches the Rfam family "Archaeal small subunit ribosomal RNA", at positions 325 to 1082 of the family's 1478-position model. The record is from RNAcentral.
ACGGGGCGCAGCAGGCGCGAAAACUGGCCAAUGCGCGAAAGCGUGAGCCGGCUAAUCCGAGUGAUCUCCCAUCGGAGAUCUUUUGUUAUGUGUUCACAGCAUGACGAAUAAUGAGAGGGCAAGACUGGUGCCAGCCGCCGCGGUAAAACCAGCUCUUAGAGUGGUGGGCAUGAUUAUUUGGCUUAAAGGGUGCGUAGCAGGACAGCGUAAGUCCCCCGUGAAAUGCCAGGUCUUAAGCUUGGCGCGGGCGGGGGAUACUGUGCGUCUUGGGACCGGGAUAGGUAUAAGGUAUGCAUUGGGUAGGGGUGAAAUCCGAUAAUCCAAUGCAGACCGCCGGUGGCGAAGGCGUUAUACUGGAACGGGUCCGACUGUGAGGCACGAAAGCUAGGGUCGCGAGCCGGAUUAGAUACCCGGGUAGUCCUAUGCUGUAAACGAUGCUCACUAAGUGUUAGGCAAUGCAAGACGUUGUCUAGUGCCGAAGGGAAACCGUUAAGUGAGCCGCCUGGGAAGUACGUUCGCAAGAAUGAAACUUAAAGGAAUUGGCGGGGGCCUACUACAAGAAGUGGAGCCUGCGGUUUAAUUGGACUCAACUCCGGGAAGCUCACCUGGGCCGUAACGUGAAUGAUUGUCCUGCUGAAGACACUACUUGAUGCGUUACUGGAGGUGCAUGGCCAUCGUCAGUUCGUGCCGUGAGGUGUCCUGUUAAGUCAGGCAACGAACGAGAUCCCCGCCGCUAAUUGCCAGCGAGACCUCAGG